Molecule: ribosomal RNA, 482 nt
Filed under: uncultured bacterium
Lineage: Bacteria
Description: partial 16S ribosomal RNA
Rfam family: Bacterial small subunit ribosomal RNA
Source: RNAcentral
AAUGAACGUUGGCGGCAUGGAUUAGGCAUGCAAGUCGCGCGCGAAAUGUAGCAAUACAUGGAGAGCGGCGAAAGGGAGAGGAAUACGUGGGAACCUACCUUCGGGCCUGGAAUAGCGGCGGGAAACUGCCGGUAAUGCCAGAUAACGUCUCCGGACCAAAGGUGUGAUUCCGCCGGAAGAUGGGCCCACGUCCUAUCAGCUAGUUGGUGUGGUAAUGGAGCACCAAGGCUAAAACGGGUAUGGGGUGUGAGAGCAUGCCCCCACUCACUGGGACUGAGACACUGCCCAGACACCUACGGGUGGCUGCAGUCGGGAAUCUUCGGCAAUGAGCGCAAGCUUGACCGAGCGAUGCCGCGUGCGGGAUGAAGGCCUUCGGGUUGUAAACCGCUGUCGUAGGGGAAUAAUGGCCAAGGGGUACUCUUCUUGGUUUGAAUGUUCCUAGGAGGAAGGACGGGCUAAGUUCGUGCCAGCCGCCGCCGUAA